AAAGCCCUGAAUUUAUUAUUUAAGCCAAAGCGCAACCACCUCUGGUGGUGACAGGGUCAGGCGCGCGUGACGUAGGGACGUCAGAGCGAUGUAUCACUGCCGAUGUCCGAAGUGUCCGGUGCUGGAUGGCGUGGCGCCGGAGCGACCCGCGACCGCGCACACGUUUUCGCCAUCCACAGGAUGGGCGGAGUGUCGGCGUGACUCGAACGCGUCCCACCCCCGGCCCUCACUGCCCACUGGGGGCGGGGUGAGUCUGGGCCCCCCGAGAGGGAUGCCCCGGGUGAUGGCCAGCAUAAUGUGCGUGGCUGUGGGGCGACCUGUGGGGCGGGGGUGGGUAAGGUUCGAGGCAGAAGCCAUGCACCGAUGACCGGGUCUGGGCAUUGCUGCACCUCGUGUGCCUACGGCUGCCUCGCGCCGCGCGACGGGGCCUGUGACCGGCCGGGCAGAGAUGAGUUCAGCUCAGUGUUUUUGUGGGGCUCUUUGUGUGAUGAAAGUAAGUACUGUUCUGCUUUUGAAGUUAAAGAUUUGAACCCUGCUGGUGGGGUAAACCGGUGGUUGCUGUGUCUCUGCUGGGGCGCUUGGGUGACUUUUUUGGCUGGGGUGCUAAGGCGGGCUGCUUCUUUUUUUGAAAAGGGUGGCGUCCUUUCUGUUUCGCAGCCAGGAAACAGCGGAUAAAAAAAUGUGUGUGAAUUGUGUUGUUUACAAGUAUAAGAAAAAGUAGUUGCGUGCGGUAAAGUGGCACAUGAUGUGCUUUGUGUGAAAAUGGUUUUGAUGGCGACGGUGUCUGCAGGCUUCUGGCGGUAUGAAACGUUGGUGUGCUCUUUUUCGCGUUUUGGUUUGGUGUUGGAUGUCUCUCGGGUGACGGGGUGGGGUGUUUCUUGCGGGUUAAAGUGUUUUUCCUACAUUUAAAAGAACCUUUUGAGAAAAAAUGUUGACUGGCUUUCUGUGCGUCGGCUUUUAAGGUGAGGAUCAGCAGGGUUCGCGGAUAAUCUUGUGGUGCCAGAUGAGUGCGAGAGGGAAAGGAUGAAUAAAAGGGUCUUUUCGCGGCCUUUUUGCCUGGGGCUAGGCGGGCCCUUAUCGUUGAGGGUGGCGUCGGGAUGGCCGCGGGAGGUUGCGGGGUGGCUGCGCGGGGGGGGGGAUAUCAUUAGUGGGUUGGUUUCUCUUAAAUGUCUGCAUAGAGGUAACCAGUGCUUAUUUUUUCACCGCUCCUUGUUCGCUGAAGCUGAAUAACUGGCGAAGUAGGCUUAGAGUAACCUUCUGGUUUGUGAAUGGUUUCUCUGCGUGCCAGUGCGUGGAGAAGUGACGAGCUCUCUGUCUUGGUUGUCGGUUUACCGCCACCGCUGCAUUUUGGUCGAGGGGGGGGGCUGAAGAAGUGUCAGGCUACUGCACCUUUUCUCCUUCAUGCGUUUCUCUCGCUUACUUUUCAUGUGAAGGCCCUUGGGUUGGCGCAGCGCUUCAGUCGGGCCACCAGUAUCUCCAACACGGUUUGGAUGGGGAUAGAAGAGUGCUUUAUUCGCAGCUAUCAGGGUUUUAGUGGUGAUCUAUAAUGAACGUUUAGUUUUUGUUUGCCAAAAGAAGGUGAAGCUGAUCACUGUGUGCUCGCCGAUCAAAGCAGCGUCGAAUGCGGCAAGGCGGCGUGAGAGCUGCCGUUGCGAACGGGGAACGGCUGCUUCUGGCAUUGUCCGUCGAGCCUUGAUUGCCGGCGGUGCCUUUUUUUUUUCUGUUCUUUCUGGACCUGUCAUCUCAGUGGCGCACUGCAUAAUGGCUUCUUACUCCUCCUUACUUUAG
RNAcentral lists this unclassified non-coding RNA (1788 nucleotides) under Leishmania donovani. RNAcentral describes it as "gene:unknown". Lineage: Eukaryota; Euglenozoa; Kinetoplastea; Trypanosomatida; Trypanosomatidae. The record is from RNAcentral.